CAGUCGCCACGGGAAUACGUAGGUGGCAAGCGUUGUCCGGAAUUAUUGGGCGUAAAGGGCUCGCAGGCGGUUUCUUAAGUCUGAUGUGAAAGCCCCCGGCUCAACCGGGGAGGGUCAUUGGAAACUGGGAAACUUGAGUGCAGAAGAGGAGAGUGGAAUUCCACGUGUAGCGGUGAAAUGCGUAGAGAUGUGGAGGAACGCCAGUGGCGAAGGCGACUCUCUGGUCUGUAACUGACGCUGAGGAGCGAAAGCGUGGGGAGCGAACAGGAUUAGAUACCCCCGUAGUCCCUGUCUCUUAUAC
Molecule: ribosomal RNA, 301 nt
Filed under: uncultured bacterium
Lineage: Bacteria
Description: partial 16S ribosomal RNA
Rfam family: Bacterial small subunit ribosomal RNA
Source: RNAcentral